This 430-nucleotide ribosomal RNA is filed under the name uncultured bacterium. Its description in RNAcentral is "bacterial SSU rRNA". It matches the Rfam family "Bacterial small subunit ribosomal RNA", at positions 1076 to 1505 of the family's 1533-position model. The record is from RNAcentral.
UGGGUUAAGUCCCGCAACGAGCGCAACCCUUGUCCUUAGUUGCUAACGAGUCAAGUCGAGAACCCUAAGGAAACUGUCGGUGAUAAACCGGAGGAAGGUGGGGAUGACGUCAAGUCCUCAUGGCCUUUAUGUCCAGGGCUACACACGUGCUACAAUGGGCGGUACAAAGGGUCGCAAACCCGCGAGGGGGAGCCAAUCCCAUAAAACCGUUCUCAGUUCGGAUUGCAGUCUGCAACUCGACUGCAUGAAGCUGGAAUCGCUAGUAAUCGCGGAUCAGCAUGCCGCGGUGAAUACGUUCCCGGGCCUUGUACACACCGCCCGUCACAUCAUGAAAGCUGGUUGUACUAGAAGUCGCCGUGCUAACCGCAAGGGGGCAGGUGCCCAAGGUAUGACUAGUGAUUGGGGUGAAGUCGUAACAAGGUAAAUGCCA